This 98-nucleotide ribosomal RNA is filed under the name Bison bison bison. The record is from RNAcentral. Lineage: Eukaryota; Metazoa; Chordata; Mammalia; Artiodactyla; Bovidae.
AUCAGCCUGAAGGCGCCCGAUCUCGUCUGAUCUCGGAAGCUAAGCAGGGUCGGGCCUGGUUAGGAUCUUGGACGGGAGACCACCUGGGAAUCCCGGGU